Molecule: ribosomal RNA, 395 nt
Filed under: uncultured bacterium
Lineage: Bacteria
Description: partial 16S ribosomal RNA
Rfam family: Bacterial small subunit ribosomal RNA
Source: RNAcentral
AUACGGAGGAUGCGAGCGUUAUCCGGAUUUAUUGGGUUUAAAGGGAGCGUAGGCGGGAGCUUAAGUCAGCGGUUAAAUGGUGCGGCUCAACCGUGCCCUGCCGUUGAAACUGGGUUUCUUGAGAGUGCAAGAGGCGGAUGGAAAUCAUGGUGGAGCGGGGAAAUGCUUAGAUAUCAUGAAGAACUCCGAUUGCGAAGGCAGUCCGCUGGGGCACGUCUGACGCUGAUGCUCGAAGGUGCGGGAAUCAAACAGGAUUAGAUACCCUGGUAGUCCGCACGGUAAACGAUGAUUACUAGGUGUGGGGGGACUGACCCCUUCCGUGCCGCAGUUAACACAAUAAGUAAUCCACCUGGGGAGUACGGCCGCAAGGUUGAAACUCAAAUGAAUUGGCGGGG